Molecule: ribosomal RNA, 492 nt
Filed under: uncultured bacterium
Lineage: Bacteria
Description: partial 16S ribosomal RNA
Rfam family: Bacterial small subunit ribosomal RNA
Source: RNAcentral
AGUGAACGCUGGCGGUAGACCUAACACAUGCAAGUCGAACGGCAGCACAGUAAGAGCUUGCUCUUACGGGUGGCGAGUGGCGGACGGGUGAGGAAUACAUCGGAAUCUACUUUUUCGUGGGGGAUAACGUAGGUAAACUUACGCUAAUACCGCAUACGACCUACGGGUGAAAGCAGGGGAUCUUCGGACCUUGCGCGAUUGAAUGAGCCGAUGUCGGAUUAGCUAGUUGGCGGGGUAAAGGCCCACCAAGGCGACGAUCCGUAGCUGGUCUGAGAGGAUGAUCAGCCACACUGGAACUGAGACACGGUCCAGACUCCUACGGGAGGCAGCAGUGGGGAAUAUUGGACAAUGGGCGCAAGCAUGAUCCAGCCAUACCGCGUGGGUGAAGAAGGCCUUCGGGUUGUAAAGCCCUUUUGUUGGGAAAGAAAAGCAGCAGGUUAAUACCCCGCUGUUCUGACGGUACCCAAAGAAUAAGCACCGGCUAACUUCGUG